This 250-nucleotide ribosomal RNA is filed under the name uncultured bacterium. RNAcentral describes it as "partial 16S ribosomal RNA". It matches the Rfam family "Bacterial small subunit ribosomal RNA", at positions 15 to 263 of the family's 1533-position model. The record is from RNAcentral.
GAUCCUGGCUCAGGACGAACGCUGGCGGCGUGCUUAACACAUGCAAGUCGAACGCUGAAGCCCAGCUUGCUGGGUGGAUGAGUGGCGAACGGGUGAGUAACACGUGAGUAACCUGCCCCCUUCUUUGGGAUAACGCCCGGAAACGGGUGCUAAUACUGGAUAUUCACUGGCCUUCGCAUGGGGGUUGGUGGAAAGGUUUUUUCUGGUGGGGGAUGGGCUCGCGGCCUAUCAGCUUGUUAGUGGGUGAUGG